AAAUUGAAGAGUUUGAUCAUGGCUCAGAUUGAACGCUGGCGGCAGGCCUAACACAUGCAAGUCGAACGGUAACAGGAAGCAGCUUGCUGCUUCGCUGACGAGUGGCGGACGGGUGAGUAAUGUCUGGGAAACUGCCUGAUGGAGGGGGAUAACUACUGGAAACGGUAGCUAAUACCGCAUAACGUCGCAAGACCAAAGAGGGGGACUUUCGGGCCUCUUGCCAUCGGAUGUGCCCAGAUGGGAUUAGCUAGUAGGUGGGGUAACGGCUCACCUAGGCGACGAUCCCUAGCUGGUCUGAGAGGAUGACCAGCCACACUGGAACUGAGACACGGUCCAGACUC
This 341-nucleotide ribosomal RNA is filed under the name Escherichia coli. RNAcentral's name for it is "bacterial SSU rRNA". It matches the Rfam family "Bacterial small subunit ribosomal RNA", at positions 1 to 338 of the family's 1533-position model. The record is from RNAcentral. Lineage: Bacteria; Pseudomonadati; Pseudomonadota; Gammaproteobacteria; Enterobacterales; Enterobacteriaceae.